GACGAACGCUGGCGGCGUGCUUAACACAUGCAAGUCGAACGGUAAGGCUCCAGCUUGCUGGGGUACACGAGUGGCGAACGGGUGAGUAACACGUGGGUGACCUGCCCUGCACUUCGGGAUAAGCCUGGGAAACUGGGUCUAAUACCGGAUAGGACCGCACCGUGAGGGUGUGGUGGAAAGUUUUUUCGGUGUGGGAUGGGCCCGCGGCCUAUCAGCUUGUUGGUGGGGUAAUGGCCUACCAAGGCGGCGACGGGUAGCCGGCCUGAGAGGGUGGACGGCCACAUUGGGACUGAGACACGGCCCAGACUCCUACGGGAGGCAGCGGUGGGGAAUAUUGCACAAUGGGCGGAAGCCUGAUGCAGCGACGCCGCGUGGGGGAUGACGGCCUUCGGGUUGUAAACUCCUUUCACCAUCGACGAAGGGUUUCUGACGGUAGAUGGAGAAGAAGCACCGGCUAACUACGUGCCAGCAGCCGCGGUAAUACGUAGGGUGCGAGCGUUGUCCGGAAUUACUGGGCGUAAAGAGCUCGUAGGUGGUUUGUCGCGUCGUCUGUGAAAUUCCGGGGCUUAACUCCGGGCGUGCAGGCGAUACGGGCAUAACUUGAGUACUGUAGGGGAGACUGGAAUUCCUGGUGUAGCGGUGAAAUGCGCAGAUAUCAGGAGGAACACCGGUGGCGAAGGCGGGUCUCUGGGCAGUAACUGACGCUGAGGAGCGAAAGCAUGGGGAGCGAACAGGAUUAGAUACCCUGGUAGUCCAUGCCGUAAACGGUGGGCGCUAGGUGUGGGUUUCCUUCCACGGGAUCCGUGCCGUAGCUAACGCAUUAAGCGCCCCGCCUGGGGAGUACGGCCGCAAGGCUAAAACUCAAAGGAAUUGACGGGGGCCCGCACAAGCGGCGGAGCAUGUGGAUUAAUUCGAUGCAACGCGAAGAACCUUACCUGGGCUUGACAUAUACAGGAUCGCGCCAGAGAUGGUGUUUCCCUUGUGGCUUGUAUACAGGUGGUGCAUGGUUGUCGUCAGCUCGUGUCGUGAGAUGUUGGGUUAAGUCCCGCAACGAGCGCAACCCUUGUCUUAUGCUGCCAGCACGUUGUGGUGGGGACUCGUAAGAAACUGCCGGGGUUAACUCGGAGGAAGGUGGGGAUGACGUCAAAUCAUCAUGCCCCUUAUGUCCAGGGCUUCACACAUGCUACAAUGGUCGGUACAGUGGGUUGCCAGUCCGUGAGGGCGAGCUAAUCCCGCAAAGCCGGUCUCAGUUCGGAUCGGGGUCUGCAACUCGACCCCGUGAAGUCGGAGUCGCUAGUAAUCGCAGAUCAGCAACGCUGCGGUGAAUACGUUCCCGGGCCU
This 1341-nucleotide ribosomal RNA is filed under the name uncultured bacterium. RNAcentral's name for it is "partial 16S ribosomal RNA". It matches the Rfam family "Bacterial small subunit ribosomal RNA", at positions 28 to 1381 of the family's 1533-position model. The record is from RNAcentral.